Molecule: long non-coding RNA, 934 nt
Filed under: Elaeis guineensis (African oil palm)
Lineage: Eukaryota; Viridiplantae; Streptophyta; Magnoliopsida; Arecales; Arecaceae
Description: long non-coding RNA (EGUI_LNC080671)
Source: RNAcentral
GGAGACACUGGUAUGGCAUACAGGUGAGAUGUAAUGGUACAUCUGCACUGAACGUGACCGACUCCGGAGCUAUUUCUGCUGUCAAGAUUUGCUCCGAUGGGAUAUGGGUAUAAAUAUCCCUCCGACCUGAGACCGCCACGGUGACUUGCAAGCAACUCACUGCACUUAGACACUGGACUACCUGAAUUUCUAAUUCAGUGACGGAAGGCUGCUGGGUGAAGUCAAGUACUUGACUUGUCGGUGCGUGUGUCAAGAUGGGAUUGACCACUCCAGUUUAGGAGCUGUGUACAAUCGUGUUUCAAUUUAGCAAAAUCUUGGCCAGGAUAGUCCUAGUGAGGAGUCACAGGACUAAUUGAGUUGAGCACGAUUCGGAUGAUCUCAUUAGGGUUGACAGUUUAACCUUGAGUCGUCCUAAACACAGGGGUCAAAAGGGAUGAAUUAUAUGGUAACCAUAUUCACGUAGGUUCUGAAUAUUGCGAUUGUGACUAUUCGACCUAUCCGAUCGUCGGGCACCAUUGCUAGAUGGUCACUUCGAUUAGUACAGGAAUUGGUUCCUGUACUAUCGGCUUAGGUUUGAACCUGCGGGGUCACACACAUUAGAGGUUCCUUUAUGAUCUGAUGGCUGAUUAUGAGUCUUAUGUGUCUGGGACUCUAUGAUUGAGAAUUAGGAUUCUCUGAUCAUGAGUUCCAUACAUUUUGGAUAUCAGGGUCAAAAUUUUGAAUUUCAAAUUUCAAAUUUUGAAUUUGAAAUUUGAACUCUUUGAUCAAGGUUUCAUAUCGAUGGUCUCUGAUGCCUAAUUGCCCAUCGAAUUUGGACUCAAUAUUUAUGAGAGGUUUAAUUAGUGAUUUGAUCACUAAUUAACUCAAUUUGAUUGAGUAAUUAUUUUUAGAUCAAGUCCAAUUGAAUUGGAUUCAGUUUGGAUUGACCCGAUUA